RNAcentral lists this non-coding RNA (23 nucleotides) under Mus musculus (house mouse). The record is from RNAcentral. Lineage: Eukaryota; Metazoa; Chordata; Mammalia; Rodentia; Muridae.
UAGUGUCAUGUGGACCAUACUCU